Molecule: non-coding RNA, 88 nt
Filed under: Pseudomonas sp. 29
Lineage: Bacteria; Pseudomonadati; Pseudomonadota; Gammaproteobacteria; Pseudomonadales; Pseudomonadaceae
Source: RNAcentral
GUAGGAGUGAGCCUGCUCGCGAUGGCGGUGUGUCAGACAGCAUUAAUGUCGACUGACACGGCCUCAUCGCGAGCAGGCUCACUCCUAC